This is a long non-coding RNA of Bubalus bubalis (water buffalo), 377 nucleotides long. RefSeq lists it as uncharacterized. The record is from RefSeq and is a predicted model, not a curated record. Lineage: Eukaryota; Metazoa; Chordata; Mammalia; Artiodactyla; Bovidae. The transcript is spliced from 3 exons.
AGAAAACUAAAGACACCGCGCCAUUUGGUUUUCGUAUUUAUGGAGCUUUCCGGAAUGCUGUCCUCCAUUUUCACCUCCGGGUCCUACUCAGCUGCUAGUUAGAGAGCAGUUUCUGUUGUCUAAAUCUGCGUGUGAUUUAGCACACAUUUUUUGGCACAUCGCUGGCUGCAUUUUGACGCUAAAGGAGAAUGAAGUUGCAAAAAAAUCUGCAAUCACGUUUCUGCGAAAACUCCAACCAGAUGACUCCUUCUGUCCUCUGCUUCUUACAGACUCAGCAAAGUCUCAGGGGUGGAGGGAAGCAGGGCAGGAGGCACGUGCUGUUCGCUGUGACCUGGAGUGGCUUGCUGGCUGUGCUUCUUACUGUGGAGAAGGGUACC